Non-coding RNA from Rodentibacter myodis, 365 nucleotides. Lineage: Bacteria; Pseudomonadati; Pseudomonadota; Gammaproteobacteria; Pasteurellales; Pasteurellaceae. The record is from Rfam.
GGGGCUGAUUCUGGAUUCGACGGGAUUAGCGAAGCCCAAGGUGCACGUCGAGGUGCGGUAGGCCUCGUAAACAAACCGCAAAAAAAUAGUCGCAAACGACGAACAAUACGCUUUAGCAGCUUAAUAACCUGCAUUUAGCCUUCGCGCCCCAGCUUCCGCUCGUAAGACGGGGAGUUCGCGGAGUCAAACCAAAACGAGAUCGUGUGGAUGCCGCCGUUUGAGGAUCGAAGCAUUAAAUUAAAUCAAACUAGCUUAAAUUUAGCGUGUCUGUCCGCAUAUUUAAGUGAAAUUAAAGACCGACUAAACGUGUAGUACUGAAGGUAGAGUAAUUUCGGACGCGGGUUCAACUCCCGCCAGCUCCACCA